GUGAGGAAUUUUCCGCAAUGGGCGAAAGCCUGACGGAGCAAUGCCGCGUGAAGGAUGAAGGCCUAUGGGUUGUAAACUUCUUUUCUCAGAAAAGAAUUAUGACGGUAUCUGAGGAAUAAGCAUCGGCUAACUCUGUGCCAGCAGCCGCGGUAAGACAGAGGAUGCAAGCGUUAUCCGGAAUGAUUGGGCGUAAAGCGUCUGUGGGUUGUUUAAAAAGUAUUCUGUCAAAGAUUAGGGCUUAACCCUAGAUAGGCAGAAUAAACUUUUAAGCUAGAGUUUGGUAGAGGCAGAGGGAAUUCCCGGUGGAGCGGUGAAAUGCGUAGAUAUCGGGAGGAACACCAAAGGCGAAGGCACUCUGCUGGGCCAAUACUAACACUGAGAGACGAAAGCGAGGGGAGCAAAUGGGAUUAGAAACCCGAGUAGUCC
Molecule: ribosomal RNA, 426 nt
Filed under: uncultured bacterium
Lineage: Bacteria
Description: partial 16S ribosomal RNA
Rfam family: Bacterial small subunit ribosomal RNA
Source: RNAcentral